AUCACCUAGAAGAACCUUGAAGGUAGAGAAUCAUUCUUCCUCCUCAACAGUUGGCAUAGCCAGCAGGAUAAACUUUAGCUGGCUGGACACUGCUGCGGCUGAGAGAUUAUGGGACAUCUGACAAAAGCUGGCACGAGGGAAGAAUCCCCAUCACCACAUCAGCCAAAUGGAUCUCUGCCUGCCAGGUCUCGUGCAAGUGAGAGUGAUGACACAAUUGGAAACAUGAGCUAUAAUAUCAUCAAGGCUUUGACGGGGAUGUCAUAUUUGAGGGAAACAUGCAUAGACUCAGAUAUGACCAGAUAGCUUUAAGGAACUGAAGUUGACUUAAUGGAGCUAAUAAAGCCCAUUGCAAAUAUCAGCCUGACACCUUGCUUACAGAGUAACCGGCAGCCUUACAAGAAUCAUUGAGAAUUAAAACAGACUUCUCUCCCUGAAGCCCUGCAAACUAAAUAUGAAUGACUUGAUAUAAACUUCAGGAAAAUCAGCACAAUAGAUAACAUAAAGUCAGCGCUGGAGGAAUAUGGACUACCUUACGAGGGCUAAAUUGGGUGGCUUGCUAAGGAACUUCACUAAGAGAUGCCUGGGACCCCAGCAAACAUCUUCUUGAGUUUGAAACUUCCCAGAGGAUCUUUGGAAGAUUUCAAGGGUUUGUUCUUCUCAUAAAAGAGAGAUGUUAAAGGCAGCAACCUCUUUGACCUUGGCUGCAGCAAC
This is a long non-coding RNA of Prionailurus viverrinus (fishing cat), 711 nucleotides long. RefSeq lists it as uncharacterized. Lineage: Eukaryota; Metazoa; Chordata; Mammalia; Carnivora; Felidae. The transcript is spliced from 5 exons. The record is from RefSeq and is a predicted model, not a curated record.